GAUGAACGCUGGCGGCGUGCCUAAUACAUGCAAGUCGAGCGAACAGAUGAGGAGCUUGCUCCUCUGACGUUAGCGGCGGACGGGUGAGUAACACGUGGAUAACCUACCUAUAAGACUGGGAUAACUUCGGGAAACCGGAGCUAAUACCGGAUAAUAUAUUGAACCGCAUGGCUCAAUAGUGAAAGACGGUUUUGCUGUCACUUAUAGAUGGAUCCGCGCCGCAUUAGCUAGUUGGUAAGGUAACGGCUUACCAAGGCAACGAUGCGUAGCCGACCUGAGAGGGUGAUCGGCCACACUGGAACUGAGACACGGUCCAGACUCCUACGGGAGGCAGCAGUAGGGAAUCUUCCGCAAUGGGCGAAAGCCUGACGGAGCAACGCCGCGUGAGUGAUGAAGGUCUUCGGAUCGUAAAACCCUGUUAUUAGGGAAGAACAAAUGUGUAAGUAACUAUGCACGUCUUGACGGUACCUAAUCAGAAAGCCACGGCUAACUACGU
RNAcentral lists this ribosomal RNA (496 nucleotides) under uncultured bacterium. RNAcentral describes it as "partial 16S ribosomal RNA". It matches the Rfam family "Bacterial small subunit ribosomal RNA", at positions 28 to 506 of the family's 1533-position model. The record is from RNAcentral.